RNAcentral lists this ribosomal RNA (484 nucleotides) under uncultured bacterium. RNAcentral's name for it is "partial 16S ribosomal RNA". It matches the Rfam family "Bacterial small subunit ribosomal RNA", at positions 30 to 507 of the family's 1533-position model. The record is from RNAcentral.
AUUGAACGCUGGCGGCAGGCCUAACACAUGCAAGUCGAGCGGAUGAAGGGAGCUUGCUCCUGGAUUCAGCGGCGGACGGGUGAGUAAUGCCUAGGAAUCUGCCUGGUAGUGGGGGAUAACGUCCGGAAACGGGCGCUAAUACCGCAUACGUCCUGAGGGAGAAAGUGGGGGAUCUUCGGACCUCACGCUAUCAGAUGAGCCUAGGUCGGAUUAGCUAGUUGGUGGGGUAAAGGCCUACCAAGGCGACGAUCCGUAACUGGUCUGAGAGGAUGAUCAGUCACACUGGAACUGAGGCACGGUCCAGACUCCUACGGGAGGCAGCAGUGGGGAAUAUUGGACAAAGGGCGAAAGCCUGAUCCAGCCAUGCCGCGUGUGUGAAGAAGGUCUUCGGAUUGUAAAGCACUUUAAGUUGGGAGGAAGGGCAGUAAGUUAAUACCUUGCUGUUUUGACGUUACCAACAGAAUAAGCACCGGCUAACUUCGUG